GAAUAUGAGAGUGAUCUUGCUGUAACAUCUGUCACUCUACUGAUAGGUUGAUUUGGCUGGCUAGGCAGGUGUUCUCUUUCUCUCUCAUUCCUUCCUGGGCAUCUGAGAUGCAAUUAUGGAAGCCAGACUUUCCACCUUCUGUACCCCAUAGAGACUUUGGUCCAUGCUCCCAGAGGGAUAAAGAAAAUGGAAGUUUCCAGUGGAGGGGAUGGAAGGAUGGUACACAAAAAUCUGGUGGUGGGAAUAUAUGGAAUUAUUUCCCUAUUACC
Unclassified non-coding RNA from Erinaceus europaeus (western European hedgehog), 269 nucleotides. Its record names the gene 7SK. It matches the Rfam family "7SK RNA". From Rfam's summary of the family: 7SK was discovered as an abundant small nuclear RNA in the mid-70s but a possible function has only recently been suggested. Two independent studies have found that 7SK RNA binds the CDK9/cyclin T complex (known as elongation factor P-TEFb). P-TEFb activates transcription by phosphorylating the C-terminal domain of RNA polymerase II. Lineage: Eukaryota; Metazoa; Chordata; Mammalia; Eulipotyphla; Erinaceidae. The record is from Ensembl.